Molecule: non-coding RNA, 45 nt
Organism: Schistosoma mansoni
Lineage: Eukaryota; Metazoa; Platyhelminthes; Trematoda; Strigeidida; Schistosomatidae
Source: Rfam
AUCCAGCGGACGAUUCUCAAAUAAGAAGAGACGCGCGUCGUGGAU